Molecule: long non-coding RNA, 3451 nt
Organism: Balaenoptera ricei (Rice's whale)
Lineage: Eukaryota; Metazoa; Chordata; Mammalia; Artiodactyla; Balaenopteridae
Exons: 2
Source: RefSeq, a predicted model, not a curated record
CCCGCGUCCGGUGCGUAUGUGCCAGGCCCUGCGCUCGGUGCCUCGGGGCCCGCGGUGAAGAACACGGGGACAUCUCCUGUUCCUGCCAAACCUCUCCAGAGUGGGCUUCAUGCAGAGCCAGCGCGUGGCCGCCUGGCUGAGGCCGGAAGGGCAGGGGAGUCGCUGCCUUAGAUGCAGACGCUACAGGCUUGUGACGCUGGGCGAGCACGCCACCCCUGCCCCUUUCCGGGAACACGUCGUGGCCGACAGAGCAGCGUCACCCAGGAGAGCUGUACUGGGAGCCACACAUGCAGGCCUCGUUGGUGACUUUCAAACAGGAGAAGAAGCAGACUGUUCAUUCUGUAAACAUCCUUGGAAAGCUGGUGGAGAGCAAAAUCUAGAACAAGAGCAGUCAGCAGCAGGGCAGGGGCCCCACAGAGAGCUGUCCCCCGAUAAAAGCGCCAUGUGACGUGUAAGUACCGGGCGUCCAUCUGGUGUUCUCGAUGCACUGAUGCUGACAAUUGUCCCCUGUGAGGGGAGGGGCCGAGACGACCCCACUGUGUUGCUUAUGCGGAAGGGGAGCUGGGGCAGGAAGAGGUGAAGUAGUUGCCCCAGGCCGCCUGGCUACUUGGUGAAUGGCCGAGUCUAACCCUGAGAAAUCUGGACUCCGGGCCACUGGCAGCAUGAUCUCUGAUGUCACUCGAGCCCCGUUCAUCCCCACGACAACCUACAAGUUACAGCGCCGGGAGCACUCAGCAGUCGCUGCCCUUGGAAACUUCGGAAGCUUCCGAGGCGGAGCGCCUUUGAGAACGGGUGAGACGUGUGCUGAGUAACCGGGCUUCGUCCCGGUCGUCGUGCUGCAGGGGUGGCAGAAGGCUGCAAGGGCGCUCAGGACCCCCAGGAGCAAUCCGGACCUGGAGCCGCGCGGGCGGGGGGGCUGAGCCGGGCUGCGGGACGGGGGGCUGGUGGUCAGCCAGCCGCACUCGUGCCGGCACGGCCGCUGCUGCUCUGCCCCCCAAGGAUCCGUACCCGAGGGGCAAUUGCUCUGCAGUGAAGGUGGCCAGGCUCGAGAGGUCGAGUGGUCUGGCCUGAGGUCUGUCUCCGUGCUUCAACAGGCGUCGGGCAAGGGGCUCUCGCCCGGGCAGGGCUCUGGCUGCGCCCCUGCUGGGAGCGGGGUGCCUGCAGGAGCCCCAGGUCCUGCCCCGUCUCCUCCGGGGCUUGUGCUCGGCCUGGCCUCUUCUCCAGGCCACAGCAUGACUGCUGAUGAACUCUGAUUGAAGAGGGCUUUGCUAAGCUCUCCGCGUGCAUUAUUUUAUCUGAUCCUCGUGAAACCCUCUCCAUGACAACAUGCUGGAGUCACACAGUAAGUGACAAGACGCCUAUUCGCCCAAGGCCCCACUGGCUCUAAGGCCCGUAUAUGCUUUUAACGAAAGGUUUGUGGUUAUCUGCGUAUUUUCACAGAUCAAGUCCGGGUCCAGCAGCAGAAUCCCUUAAGAGCCUUUCUUUCGUGCUGGCCCAUUGCAGCAAAGUACCUCAACCCGGAUCUUAGAUGAGUAGGUCUGGGGGUUCUGUUUGCGGGAAAAGCUGCCAGCCCUCCCCGCAGCCCCGAGGGAUCAGAUGAUCUGGACCAGCUCGCUCCUCGGCAUGAGCCGACGCUGCCCUCUAGUGUCUGAACACCGGUGGGACACCUCCUGUAAGGAUGCUCUGGACGGCGGCCCCCGCCAUCCCUGGAACCACAGAACAGAGCCCACACCUCGGAGCCCUGAGCAGUGGGCCACUUCCCAGCGUCUGCCCACACAGACAGCCAGGCGCUGCCUGCAAAUCCCAAGCAUGCCUGGCCUGAGCGGGGCUGCCAGCACCCUCCAGCAGGCUCUGCUCUACGGAAGGGCUUUUUUCUCUGGUGGGGAUUUUGGGACACCCUUUGCCACAGUCGGUCAUCCCUGAAGGCGUUUAUCUCAACGGCCAAGGGCCAGUGUUGAUAUUUGGCUGGGAUGCCAACUCGGAUUCCAUGACCCUCAAAUGUUCUGUAUUUCCUAGUCUCUCCCAAGUGACCAUCCCUUUAGAAACCAAGGAUAUUUCCAAAGACAUGAGUCUGAGCACUAAGAAACACAGCCGCUCCUUGUGUGAGGCUUUUGGAGAAUGCACAAAAAGCAGAGAUGCCUCUAAUGAUUUUUAGCCUUUGAAGAAGUGUCAGAGGAAGGCUCUGAGGUCAACUUGACCCUCAGGUAUAAACCGGGUGGGUGAGAGGUGAGAUAUCCCAAGGCACCCAGCCCAGGUCAAUCUAGCACUGAUGGUUGCCAGGUAGGCAUAGGGUCAAAGGGCAGAGAGCCAAUCUCUUGAGCACACACCCUCUCCGGGUGAUUCUUGAUAUCCCUGAAGGCCCUGACCUCAGGCAUUUGCAAGUUAUAAAAAUUCCUGGAUGCCUUGAGAGCACACGAUUCUCCCUGUAAAUGCAGCAGCAUAUAAUGAACAAUGGAAUUGCCCGUGUCCCAGUCAGAAGCUUUGUCACUGUCAUGCUGUGUUAACAAGCAAACAAGAACAUUUCAAGAACAUACACAGUAAGCACUGGUUUCUCACUCACACUUCUGUGGGUCAGCUGAGAUGACCCUAUUUCAAGCUACAGGUCUUUGGAUUGACUGGGGUAAGAAUGCCAUUCAUUUUUCCAGAAUGAGGGGCUGCUGGGGUGUAUCUUCGUGGCAAUGGGAGUAAGCCAAACAUCACAUCCUGUGGACCCCAGUGUGCCUUUGAACUAAUUGGUGGGUGGAACACACAGAGCUGUGUGGAGGCCCACGCUGGGCUGGUUCCCUAGUCAGUGAUGUACUGAGACCCACCAGCUUCAAACCGGAGGAUUUAUGUGCAGCCUCAGAAAAAUGACCAAUUGCCACUUUUCAUAAAUAUCACUCAAGAACAGACAAAACUGUGUAACCAACUUGGCAAAGGCUGAGGAGUGGCCCAACUUCCUAGGACUGGGAGUCUCCACCCAGGCAGGCGCUCGCUGUUGCCAUUGUGGGGUUGCCUGUGGAGACGGCCGCUCGGUGGGAAUCCUGGUUCUGAUCCCAGAGAUCACUCGAAGCAAGUGGCCCAGCGGAGAUUCUUCGAUAAGCCAUGAGCAAGGCAUAUUGAAGAAACCUGCCCCAGACAACCACCUGUUAUUUUCAUAAGAAGAUGUUUUCUCUCUAUUGCAUGUGAUGGCAGGAUCUAGGCAAUGAUUCUGUGACUUGAAACGUCUCUGGAUAAAGAAAAAAAGGAACCCCUUCACAGACACCAUCCAUCGGAGGUACCCAAACUUAAUAAAGAUGAUCUAUUGUAAAUGAAAUAAAUUCUGCAAACUUUAGCUUGUUAUCCUUCAUAGUACAAUCUUAUGUAUGUGGAUUGUAUCUGAACCAGAUAUGAUAUGGGCAUGAUUAUAACUUCGACAGGGGACCCUCUGAGAGUAACAGACAUUUAUAAUAAAGAGAGUCAUUUUAAAAUA